This 466-nucleotide ribosomal RNA is filed under the name uncultured bacterium. Its description in RNAcentral is "partial 16S ribosomal RNA". It matches the Rfam family "Bacterial small subunit ribosomal RNA", at positions 28 to 507 of the family's 1533-position model. The record is from RNAcentral.
GACGAACGCUGGCGGCGCGCCUAACACAUGCAAGUCGAACGAGCGAGAGAGAGCUUGCUUUCUCGAGCGAGUGGCGAACGGGUGAGUAACGCGUGAGGAACCUGCCUCAAAGAGGGGGACAACAGUUGGAAACGACUGCUAAUACCGCAUAAGCCCACGACCCGGCAUCGGGUAGAGGGAAAAGUAGCAAUCCGCUUUGAGAUGGCCUCGCGUCCGAUUAGCUAGUUGGUGAGGUAACGGCCCACCAAGGCGACGAUCGGUAGCCGGACUGAGAGGUUGAACGGCCACAUUGGGAAUGAGACACGGACCAGACUCCUACGGAAGGCAGCAGUAGGGAAUAUUGCACAAUGGGGGCAAACCUGAUGCAGCGACGCCGCGUGGAGGAAGAAGGUCUUCGGAUUGUAAACUCCUGUUGUAGAGGAAGAUAAUGACGGUACUCAACAAGGAAGUGACGGCUAACUACGUG